CUUUAAUUAAUUUUUAUCUAAGUUCAUUAGGUAUAUUGGUCUAUAAUUAGUUUUGCUUGAUGUGUCCUUAAUGUUUUUUUGGUAUGAGUGUAAUUCUAGCUUCAUAGAAUAAAUUUGGAAGUAUUCCAUCCUUUUAUGUUCUAUGGAAUAAUUUGAGGAGUGUUUGUAUUAGUUCUUUAAAAGUCUGGUAGAAUUCAGCUGAGAAUCCACAUAGUCUUGGGCUUUCUUUAUCGGAGGAUUUUUUUAUUACGGAUAUCACCAGUUAUCAGUGAUGAGUUCUGCUUCCUCAAGGAUUGAGGCUUGAACAUUAGAGAAAAGCAUUGAGGCAUGCAUAGAAAGUAGGUUUUAUUUAAAAAAUAGUAACAGAGACUUCUCCCAGAAGGGAGAAGGGGGCCAUAGCUGGUGUCCUGGUAUCCCAAGAAGUGAGAGUGUCCUGCCCCAUUCACACAUUUUAGAUUUUCUUUGUUGUCCUGCUGUCUUCCCCUGUAUCUGUCUCUUUUCUGUGUAUGUGAUUAGGCCCAGGAGAUGCCUGGUGGGAUGGCCAAAAGGUGGGAAGUAGAUGGGCAGGUGGAGGGCCAAAUGAAGUGAUCCAGGCUGAAAGAAGCCCAGAGGGCAUGAAUUAGCAGCUCCCCUUCUGCUCAGGGUGUGCUUUAUCAACAACCUCCUGGAAAUGGCAGUAUGGGCAAGUAAUCUUUGUAAUCAAAAGACUCUGAAUGCAUUAAAUCUCCAAUCUCCCAGGGGUGGUCUCCAACUUUCUAGACCCAAACAAGCCUCCAUUUUCUUGAUCUCACCCAAUUACAUAUCUAUACUGAUUGCCUGUCCUUAAUUCUUGCU
Molecule: long non-coding RNA, 834 nt
Filed under: Marmota monax (woodchuck)
Lineage: Eukaryota; Metazoa; Chordata; Mammalia; Rodentia; Sciuridae
Source: RNAcentral